Molecule: ribosomal RNA, 498 nt
Filed under: uncultured bacterium
Lineage: Bacteria
Description: bacterial SSU rRNA
Rfam family: Bacterial small subunit ribosomal RNA
Source: RNAcentral
AGUGAACGCUGGCGGCAGGCCUAAUACAUGCAAGUCGAACGGCAGCACAGCAGAGCUUGCUCUGUGGGUGGCGAGUGGGCGGACGGGUGAGGAAUACGUGGGAAUCUGCCCAGUCGUGGGGGAUAACGUAGGGAAACUUACGCUAAUACCGCAUGCGCCCUUCGGGGAAAGCCGGGGACCUUCGGGCCUGGCGCGAUUGGAUGAGCCCACGUCGGAUUAGCUAGUUGGCGGGGUAAAGGCCCACCAAGGCGACGAUCCGUAGCUGGUCUGAGAGGAUGAUCAGCCACACUGGAACUGAGACACGGUCCAGACUCCUACGGGAGGCAGCAGUAGGGAAUAUUGGACAAUGGGCGCAAGCCUGAUCCAGCCAUGCCGCGUGAGUGAAGAAGGCCCUCGGGUUGUAAAGCUCUUUUGUCCGGAAAGAAAAGACGCCGGGUUAAUACCCUGGUGUCCUGACGGUACCGGAAGAAUAAGCACCGGCUAACUUCGUGCCAGCAG